GGAAAGUGGGCGGCGUGCUAUACAUGCAAGUCGAGCGAACAGACAAGGAGCUUGCUCCUUUGACGUUAGCGGCGGACGGGUGAGUAACACGUGGGUAACCUACCUAUAAGACUGGGAUAACUUCGGGAAACCGGAGCUAAUACCGGAUAAUAUUUCGAACCGCAUGGUUCGAUAGUGAAAGAUGGUUUUGCUAUCACUUAUAGAUGGACCCGCGCCGUAUUAGCUAGUUGGUAAGGUAACGGCUUACCAAGGCGACGAUACGUAGCCGACCUGAGAGGGUGAUCGGCCACACUGGAACUGAGACACGGUCCAGACUCCUACGGGAGGCAGCAGUAGGGAAUCUUCCGCAAUGGGCGAAAGCCUGACGGAGCAACGCCGCGUGAGUGAUGAAGGUCUUCGGAUCGUAAAACUCUGUUAUUAGGGAAGAACAUACGUGUAAGUAACUAUGCACGUCUUGACGGUACCUAAUCAGAAAGCCACGGCUAACUACGUGCCAGCAGCCGCGGUAAUACGUAGGUGGCAAGCGUUAUCCGGAAUUAUUGGGCGUAAAGCGCGCGUAGGCGGUUUUUUAAGUCUGAUGUGAAAGCCCACGGCUCAACCGUGGAGGGUCAUUGGAAACUGGAAAACUUGAGUGCAGAAGAGGAAAGUGGAAUUCCAUGUGUAUCGGUGAAAUGCGCAGAGAUAUGGAGGAACACCAGUGUCUAAGCGACUUUUCUGGUCUGUAACUGACGCUGAUGUGCGUAAAGCGUGGGGAUCAAACAGGAUAAGAUACCCUGGUAAUCCACCCCGUAAACCGAUGGA
This 801-nucleotide ribosomal RNA is filed under the name Staphylococcus haemolyticus. RNAcentral's name for it is "bacterial SSU rRNA". It matches the Rfam family "Bacterial small subunit ribosomal RNA", at positions 30 to 813 of the family's 1533-position model. The record is from RNAcentral. Lineage: Bacteria; Bacillati; Bacillota; Bacilli; Caryophanales; Staphylococcaceae.